UACGUAGGGCGCAAGCGUUGUCCGGAAUUAUUGGGCGUAAAGGGCGCGUAGGCGGUGUGUCAAGUCAGGCGUGAAAGCCCCGGGCUCAACCUGGGAACAGCGCUUGAGACUGGCACGCUCGAGUUCGGGAGAGGAUGGUGGAAUUCCCAGUGUAGAGGUGAAAUUCGUAGAUAUUCGCAAGAACACCAGUGGCGAAGGCGGCUCACUGGCCCGAUACUGACGCUGAGGCACGAAAGCGUGGGGAGCAAACAGG
Molecule: ribosomal RNA, 253 nt
Filed under: uncultured bacterium
Lineage: Bacteria
Description: partial 16S ribosomal RNA
Rfam family: Bacterial small subunit ribosomal RNA
Source: RNAcentral